Molecule: long non-coding RNA, 225 nt
Organism: Suricata suricatta (meerkat)
Lineage: Eukaryota; Metazoa; Chordata; Mammalia; Carnivora; Herpestidae
Exons: 3
Source: RefSeq, a predicted model, not a curated record
CUCAACUGGCUGGGCCACCAGGCGCUCCUGGGAUCCAGAUUCUUUAAAGAAGAGACAUUUGUUGAUGACUUCGCUGUUCAAGGAACUGUGUAGACAACAGGAAGAUGAAAAAGACACUGUCCCUUCCUGUUCUCCAGAGACUCACAAUAAAGUGUAAGAGGGAUAAGAAGCACCCCGGAGCAUUUAUGGUCCCACUGUCAGCCCAAUUUCACAGAUGGAGAGAAG